This 72-nucleotide transfer RNA is filed under the name Ornithorhynchus anatinus (platypus). It matches the Rfam family "tRNA". Rfam says of the family: Transfer RNA (tRNA) molecules are approximately 80 nucleotides in length. Their secondary structure includes four short double-helical elements and three loops (D, anti-codon, and T loops). Further hydrogen bonds mediate the characteristic L-shaped molecular structure. tRNAs have two regions of fundamental functional importance: the anti-codon, which is responsible for specific mRNA codon recognition, and the 3' end, to which the tRNAs corresponding amino acid is attached (by aminoacyl-tRNA synthetases). tRNAs cope with the degeneracy of the genetic code in two manners: having more than one tRNA (with a specific anti-codon) for a particular amino acid; and 'wobble' base-pairing, i.e. permitting non-standard base-pairing at the 3rd anti-codon position. Lineage: Eukaryota; Metazoa; Chordata; Mammalia; Monotremata; Ornithorhynchidae. The record is from Rfam by way of RNAcentral.
AGCAGUGUGGCUCAGUGGAAAGAGCACGGGCUUGGGAGUCAGAGAUCAUGGGUUCGAAUCCCGCCUCUGCCA